UGAAACAAUCUGGAACACAGUCUAGAAUGGUGGGAACCUAGAAUUCCUAGAAGGGAGAAAUAGGAGCUACAUCAAUGUAACUGUGAUCUCCUGGGUCUUGGUGCUCCCUCUACCAGUAUCAAACACCCACGCCUUCUUUGUUGGUCUCCAACUGAAGCCUGGGUUACAUCCUGCCCGAAUUUUGAGAGCCAUCACCAACCCUCUUCAUGGAAACUGGAUUCCAUAUCUAGGGAAAACCCAGCAACUACUGCCAAUACCCACUCCUGGCUGGAAGUUGACUCUCCUGUGUAAGAGAACAUGGAUACCACUUCUGUUUAUUGUAGUAUGUAAUUCUUUCUGAACCAUUUAACAUGAAUAAAACCAUGCCACUAUUUAAAUGAGGUUCCUAU
RNAcentral lists this long non-coding RNA (389 nucleotides) under Monodelphis domestica (gray short-tailed opossum). RNAcentral describes it as "lncRNA (ENSMODG00000029970.2)". The record is from RNAcentral. Lineage: Eukaryota; Metazoa; Chordata; Mammalia; Didelphimorphia; Didelphidae.